Acipenser ruthenus (sterlet) is the source of this 2579-nucleotide long non-coding RNA. RefSeq lists it as uncharacterized. NCBI's taxonomy places the organism in Eukaryota, Metazoa, Chordata, Actinopteri, Acipenseriformes, Acipenseridae. The transcript is spliced from 4 exons. The record is from RefSeq and is a predicted model, not a curated record.
UAGUAUGAGUUGGACAGAUUCCAGAUCACCAGGAGGCUCUGUGCUUCAGAGCAACAAUCCACUCACUGCAGCAACAGAUUCCAGAUCACCAGGAGGCUCUGUGCUUCAGAGGCCUGCAAUCCACUCACUGCAGCAACAGAUUCCAGAUCACCAGGAGGCUCUGUGCUUCAGAGCAACAAUCCAUUCACUGCAGCAACACAUUCCAGAUCACCAGGAGGCUCGGUGCUUCAGAGGCCUGCAAUCCAUUCACUGCAGCAACAGAUUCCAGACCAACAGGAGGCUCCGUGCUUCAGAGCAACAAUCCAUUCACUACAGCAACAGAUUCCAGAUCACCAGGAGGCUCUGUGCUUCAGAGCAACAAUCCAUUCACUGCAGCAACAGAUUCCAGAUCACCAGGAGGCUCUGUGCUUCAGAGGCCUGCAAUCCACGUCAGGCAGCAGGAAAAGCUUUGGUCUUCUCUGAGGCCUGGUUUCCUGCAUUUCUACCAGCAGCAGCACUAAGAGGCUGGACCUGAGGCCUGGACUGGCUUGGUUGGAUCAGUAGGGUUUCUGGACAUUGCUGGGGACUCCUUGGAUUCUUGAGGCCUGCAAUCCACCUCCUGAAGUAACAGCAGACUGAGAAUCAGCAAAAUGGAAGGUGAAAUGCUGCUGGGUCAACAGCAGGGGAGCUGAGAAGAGAGAGAUGAACGAGUGUGAAGAUUGGCAGCUGGAUUGCAGGGGGAGUGACAGACGCGGCUGUCAUGGGGGAUGCGUGGAAAGGGAGAGCUGCUGGUUCUAAGCGAGAAAUCCUGGUUUCGAAACGCGUUCAGGCGGUCGGUGACUGAAGAAACGGCGGCUGCGACAGUACAUAGUAAAUAGUAAAUAGAGAAUCAACAGCACAGAUCACUUCAGAAGCCUGGGUGCCUGGACAGCAUGAGUGUGCUGCAGGCAGGAGCGCAGAAUUGGAGGAUUGUCCAGGAAGAGAAAUGCAGUCACCAUUCAAAAAUUCAAUUCUGAAGAGAAAGAAGAGCGACAGAAAAACAAAGAAAGAGAGACAGGUUGAAAAAUGGGAAGGUGCAUCACUGAAAUGAGGCUGGGGGCUGGUUGAAGGUUUGCCUCAGAGAUGUUGGAUGAAGAUCUCAGUUAUGGCAGAGACCUUGGAAAAAGAUGACCCUUGCAAGCUCUCAUAGCCAGGCUAAAGGCCUGCAGUACUUGGGGAAAACCUGUCCUGCUUACAGGACAGUAGAAAAUGUACGGGUGGGGAUGAUAAGAAGAUGUUCUAAUAUUCUUUCUACUGACACCUGAAUGAAUAUUAUUGAAAGAUAAUGUUAUUGAAAGAUGUAUGUUGGGAACCACUUGAUGAACAUGUGUAUUUGUUAGAAUAUCCAUUUACAGUUUUUUUAGGUUUCUCUACAUAGAGACAGUAAACUGAGUUGUUGUUUGGUUACACAGGUGUAUGUAAGAUGUGCCUUUUUACUUCUUUGACUUAGUGUCAUCAUUGUGGAUACUAGGGCUGGGUAUCGGCAGUAAAAAUUCCAAAUCAGGGCUCCCGACAAAGUUUUUGUCUUAGGAGCCAAUGGCUCCAGGCCAAAAAGAAAAUUGCCGAAUUCAAUUACUGGGUGCCACUUCAGGAGCAAGUUAUUUGCCACCAUAUUCAACUGCUUAAAAUACAACAACUUGUUAAGACACUAAAGUGAUACUAAAACAGUGACUUAAUAUCUGUACUCGUGUGUUUGUUGUCUCAUUCUGCUGAGUGGUUAAUCUAUGCAGCUUUAUGAUUGCAAUGAACUCAGCAUGUUUAUAUUUUAAAUAUGUUGCAAGUGUUGUGUCUGGAAUUGGUGACGGCGCCUCUUAUUGUGUACAGUGUAACAUGGGAAAUAGCAUGCUACAGCUCCACUGAAGUCCUGAUUUGAGAGCAUGUAACACAGACAGCUCUUAUGAUUACAUGUUACUGUUUAUUUUUCAGUAAAAACAAGUUUAAAUUGCAGUGAGUUGGUUCUGCUAUUUAAGAUAUUAAAUACUAAAUGUUUACACAACACUCAAACACGUUUGGUCUCCGUCACAACGGCUGCAUGAAACAGGGGUUAAGGUAUUCUAUCUGUGCUAAUAAGCAUUUGUUUUAGAUUAAAUUGUUAUUAUUAUUAUUAUUAGUGCAUUUGUUUUAAAAAAAGUUUAUCGAUACAGGGGUCACUGUAUCGAUAAUCGUAUUGUCAAGAAAAAUAUCAUGGUUCACCGUGUGAAUCGAUGAAUCAGCACAUCCCUAGUGGAUACUGUAUUUUAUGAUUCUCCUCAAAAAAAGUUCCAUUACAGAUAGCGUCCAGUGAAUCAUUUCAGUUCCACAUUGUUUUAAACUAUAACCAAUGAAACAGACCAGUCACUUUCAAACAGUGUCUGUACAGUUGGUAAACUGCUAUAUUUCAUGAUCUUCUAAAAAAAGUUGUAUUAAAAGUGGUGUCUAGUGAACAUUAACCACUGUGCCACAGUAACUUAACCUGUGGACAUAUCCAUGCUGCAUAUUGUUUUCACAUAUCCUUUUUACUUCAAGUUUACAAACCAUUAAAUCGAAAAUACCAUUGCCUAAUGAACCAUACCAUUUUUUCU